Molecule: long non-coding RNA, 2793 nt
Filed under: Sus scrofa (pig)
Lineage: Eukaryota; Metazoa; Chordata; Mammalia; Artiodactyla; Suidae
Source: RNAcentral
GGGUGAACCAGGCAGUAACAGCCACGUCGUCGGAGGAAGAGGCGGACCAUUUUCAUUUUCAGUCCAGAGAGAAUGAAGUUCGACAUGCCUGAGACUGUGUUCUGAAGACGGCAUAGUUUCCUCGCGCACAUCACAAAUGAUUUCUAAACAUUACUAGAAUAUUUUGCGCCUUUUCUUCGGGAUCUUAAGGUGCAUACUGCCCUGUGUGAUAGGAUAACGAAGCACAGGUGAGGUCGCCACAUGCUGCUAUGCUGCUGUCCUGCCCGGGCAGUGGGGGCAGUGGGAAGGAGGCGGCCGCCUAGCAGACAGGAGAGCCGGGUCCAGCCUCCGUGAGCAUUAAUUAACGUGUGACUCAAAUGACGGGCCUGCAGCAGUGAAGCUUUUGCCAAGGCAGAAAAAUGGCCUUCCUAAGACAUCUGCAUCCUAAGUCCUGGAACUUGUAAAUGUGUCAUGUUGCAUGGCCUAUCUGUGUGGGCCAGGUGUAAUCAUGAGGAUCCUUAAAAGAGACAGAGGCAGAAGAAGAGAGAAGAUUAAUAUGAUGCAAGGUGAGGUGCACUUUACUGGCUUUUGCUGGUCACUAAGGUUGAACUGUGUCUCCCACUAAAAUAUGUAGAAAAUUCUUAACCCCUAGUACCUCAGAAUAUGAUCUUAUUCAGAAACAGAGUUUUUAAAAAUGUAAUCAAGUUAAAAUGAGGUCAUUAGGGUGGACUUUAAUCCAGUAUCACUGAUGUCUUUAUAAAAAAGAAAAUUGGGACACAGAGAGGCAAGCGCAGAUGAAAAUCCUAUGUGAAGACACAUAGGAAUAAUCUCAUGUGAAGGUGGAAGGAAUAAUCUCAUGUGAAGGUGGAAGGAAUAAUCUCAUGUGAAGGUGGAAGGAAUAAUCUCAUGUGAAGGUGGAAGGAAUAAUCUCAUGUGAAGGUGGAAGGAAUAAUCUCAUGUGAAGGUGGAAGAGGGAAUGAUGCACAUGCAAGCCAAGAAAUGCCAAAAAUUGCCAACAAACUGUCAGAAGCCAGGAGAGAGGCAUGGAAUUGAUUCCCUCUCACAACACUCAGAAUGAAUCAACUCUGCCAACACCUUGACUUCAAACUCCUAGCUUCCACAAUCUUAAGACAAUACACUUCUGAUAUUUUAAGACACUCAUUUUGUGGCACUUUGUUAUGGCAGCCCUAGGAAACCAACGCACUGACUUAAGAAGAAAGGUAGCGGGAAGUUGGGACCCAGUGAAUGUCAGCAGCUUCUAGAAGCUGGAAAAGGGAAGGAAAUGAUUCUCCUCUUGAGUCUGAAGAAAGGAGUACAGUCCUGCUGACACCUUUGUGUCAGCUUUGUGUCAUCAACACAAUGUUUGUGUCACCCCUAAAUACAUGUUGUAGCUCUGCCUUACAGCGUGUGACUGUUUUGGGGGCGAAAGGGUCUGUCAGGAGAUGAUAAAGGUUAAAUGAGGUCAUAAAGGUGGGGCCACAGCACUUGCACCCUUAUAAGAAGAAGAAGGGAUAUCAGCAUGCUCUGUCUCUCCAGACCAUGUAAGGGUACAGACAGAAGGUGGCCAACUGAAAGUUAAGGAGAGAGCUCUCACCAGAAAUCAAAUUAGCUAGAACCUUGAUCUUGAGCUUUCCAGCCUCUGGAGCUGUGGGAAAACACAUUUCUGUUGUUUGGGUCCCAGAGUCUGAUAUUUUGUUACGGCAGCCCAAGCUGACUGUGACUCCUAGCAAGAUCUAUAUUGGACUUUUGACCUCCAGAACUGUAAGAUAUAAAUCUGUGUUGUGAUGAGCCCUACAUUUUGGUAAUUUGUUACAGCAGCAACAGGACACUCACACUUCCCUGUGUUAAAUCUCUAGUGACAUCUUAGCUACCAUACAGAGUGGCGUCAUGACCAGCUGUGCCUUAGUUCAUCUUUUAAUUAUCUUAGCUUAUGACAUACUCUAACUAGAGCAUCUAUAUAGACCUUAGGUGAGAAAUGCAGAAAAAAGAGUGAUGGCCAAGAAUUAUACACACAAGGCCAUGCAGUUAAAGGCAUAGCAUUGCAUAAGCAUUAUUGCCUUCAUUUUAUAAGUUCAGGUUUACUUAUGUUGCUUUAAAAACAUGCUUUUAGAAGAUGAUUAUGAAAUAAUUCCCUUUAUUAGAAGAACCUGUUGCUUUGGUAACUUAAAAUUCUCUGAAUAUGAUGUUUCAGGAAAAAAAUGUCCAAUGAUAUGGUGAAUUAUUGCUAUUUGUGGAACAUUUCACAUCUAUAAUUUUAUGUGAAGAGCUAUAAAUUUUUUUCUACUGCCCUUGAAGCAUGCAUAAAGCAGGGAAUUAGCAUUUUGAAGGAGACCAAGGUAAAAAUAUAUCUUGACAAAAACUUAACAGAAAUAACCAACGUCGAAAAUGAUGUGAACUAAAGUAUACUUUACUAUCAACUGAUAGUUUUAGAGUAUUCAGUAAACCCAAAAACUAUGCACUCCUGGAAUUCAGUAACUUGUAGGCUUAGAAAGUUUGUAGCUUAAAUGUCCUUAGGUUUCUUCUAGUUCUGCCACUGAGUAGAUUUGAGCAAAUUUUAACUCUUUUCUAAAUGUUAGCAUCUUUAAACUUGUAAGUUAAAUUUUCAUUUUUAUAUUUUAACAUUAAACUCAUACUUAUGUAAAAGUUCUAUUUAUGUUGUUUGAUUUACCUAUGUAAAGUAUUUAGCACCAUACUGACACAAAAUGAUCUUAUUGCUUAGCUACUGUUAUUAUUAUAACUUUAACCUUCUGGGAGGAUAAUACACAAAAUAUUCUGGCUUAAAAUAAUUUCUAUUUAUUCAGCUUAGGAUUCUAC